CCUACGGGAGGCAGCAGUAGGGAAUCUUCGGCAAUGGACGAAAGUCUGACCGAGCAACGCCGCGUGAGUGAAGAAGGUUUUCGGAUCGUAAAACUCUGUUGUUAGAGAAGAACAAGGAUGAGAGUAACUGUUCAUCCCUUGACGGUAUCUAACCAGAAAGCCACGGCUAACUACGUGCCAGCAGCCGCGGUAAUACGUAGGUGGCAAGCGUUGUCCGGAUUUAUUGGGCGUAAAGCGAGCGCAGGCGGUUUCUUAAGUCUGAUGUGAAAGCCCCCGGCUCAACCGGGGAGGGUCAUUGGAAACUGGGAGACUUGAGUGCAGAAGAGGAGAGUGGAAUUCCAUGUGUAGCGGUGAAAUGCGUAGAUAUAUGGAGGAACACCAGUGGCGAAGGCGACUCUCUGGUCUGUAACUGACGCUGAGGCUCGAAAGCGUGGGGAGCAAACAGGAUUAGAUACCCUGGUAGUCCACGCCGUAAACGAUGAGUGCUAAGUGUUGGAGGGUUUUCCGCCCUUCAGUGCUGCAGCUAACGCAUUAAGCACUCCGCCUGGGGAGUACGACCGCAAGGUUGAAACUCAAAGGAAUUGACGG
RNAcentral lists this ribosomal RNA (588 nucleotides) under uncultured Enterococcus sp. RNAcentral describes it as "bacterial SSU rRNA". It matches the Rfam family "Bacterial small subunit ribosomal RNA", at positions 338 to 916 of the family's 1533-position model. The record is from RNAcentral. Lineage: Bacteria; Bacillati; Bacillota; Bacilli; Lactobacillales; Enterococcaceae.